RNAcentral lists this ribosomal RNA (511 nucleotides) under uncultured Bacillota bacterium. Its description in RNAcentral is "bacterial SSU rRNA". It matches the Rfam family "Bacterial small subunit ribosomal RNA", at positions 355 to 857 of the family's 1533-position model. The record is from RNAcentral. Lineage: Bacteria; Bacillati; Bacillota.
UAGGGAAUCUUCCGCAAUGGACGAAAGUCUGACGGAGCAACGCCGCGUGAGCGAUGAAGGCCUUCGGGUCGUAAAGCUCUGUUGUUAGGGAAGAACAAGUACCGGAGUAACUGCCGGUACCUUGACGGUACCUAACCAGAAAGCCACGGCUAACUACGUGCCAGCAGCCGCGGUAAUACGUAGGUGGCAAGCGUUGUCCGGAAUUAUUGGGCGUAAAGCGCGCGCAGGCGGUCCUUUAAGUCUGAUGUGAAAGCCCACGGCUCAACCGUGGAGGGUCAUUGGAAACUGGGGGACUUGAGUACAGAAGAGGAAAGUGGAAUUCCACGUGUAGCGGUGAAAUGCGUAGAGAUGUGGAGGAACACCAGUGGCGAAGGCGACUUUCUGGUCUGUAACUGACGCUGAGGCGCGAAAGCGUGGGGAGCAAACAGGAUUAGAUACCCUGGUAGUCCACGCCGUAAACGAUGAGUGCUAAGUGUUAGAGGGUUUCCGCCCUUUAGUGCUGCAGCAAACG